GAUUGCUCACAUGUACAAGACGGAUAGACCGAAGUAUGAGAGUACUGCCAGAUCAUGGACCCAGAAAUACGCAAUGGGUUGAACACAUCUGUUUCUACUUUCAUGAAUAUCAUCGAACCUUUAUUCUAUAGUAGUAAAUAAACUUAGGCAUGGUGCACAAUUUAUAGAUAUUGGUGUUUCUUGUUUUCUGGUAUAUUGCCUUUUAAGUUUUUGACUGGUUAACGAUUUAUCAUUU
Molecule: unclassified non-coding RNA, 235 nt
Filed under: Hevea brasiliensis (rubber tree)
Lineage: Eukaryota; Viridiplantae; Streptophyta; Magnoliopsida; Malpighiales; Euphorbiaceae
Source: RNAcentral